UCUCGAGUGCUGGAAUGCAUCGAGAUCUAAAGCUCCGGCGCCUAAGGAUGGGUCUGCGGCCUAUCAGGUAGUAGUGGGUGUAGUGUACCUACUAGCCUACGACGGGUACGGGUUGUGAGAGCAAGAGCCCGGAGAUGGAUUCUGAGACACGAAUCCAGGCCCUACGGGGUGCAGCAGGCGCGAAAACUUUACAAUGCUGGCAACAGCGAUAAGGGAACCUCGAGUGCCAGGUUACAAAUCUGGCUGUCGAGAUGCCUAAAAAGCAUUUCAUAGCAAGGGCCGGGCAAGACCGGUGCCAGCCGCCGCGGUAACACCGGCGGCUCGAGUGGUAACCGUUAUUAUUGGGUCUAAAGGGUCUGUAGCCGGCCGGAUAAGUCUCUUGAGAAAUCUGGCAGCUUAACUGUCAGGCUUUCAGGAGAUACUGUCUGGCUCGAGGCCGGGAGAGGUGAGAGGUACUACAGGGGUAGGAGUGAAAUCUUGUAAUCCCUGUGGGACCACCUGUGGCGAAGGCGUCUUACCAGAACGGGUUCGACGGUGAGG
RNAcentral lists this ribosomal RNA (540 nucleotides) under uncultured Methanosarcina sp. Its description in RNAcentral is "bacterial SSU rRNA". It matches the Rfam family "Archaeal small subunit ribosomal RNA", at positions 161 to 702 of the family's 1478-position model. The record is from RNAcentral. Lineage: Archaea; Methanobacteriati; Methanobacteriota; Methanomicrobia; Methanosarcinales; Methanosarcinaceae.